Molecule: ribosomal RNA, 275 nt
Filed under: uncultured bacterium
Lineage: Bacteria
Description: partial 16S ribosomal RNA
Rfam family: Bacterial small subunit ribosomal RNA
Source: RNAcentral
AGCGAACGCUGGCGGCGUGCUUAACACAUGCAAGUCGAGCGGUAAGGCCCUUUCGGGGGUACACGAGCGGCGAACGGGUGAGUAACACGUGGGUGACCUGCCCUCAGCUCUGGGAUAAGCCUGGGAAACCGGGUCUAAUACUGGAUAUGACUCCAUGACGCAUGUUGUGGGGUGGAAAGCCUUGUGCGGCUGGAGGAGUCGGGCCCGCGGCCUAUCAGUCUUGGUUGGGUGGGGUGAUCGGCCUACCAAGGCGACGACGGGUAGCCGGCCUGAGA